GAUGAAGAACGCAGUGAAAUGCGAUAAGUAAUGUGAAUUGCAGAAUUCAGUGAAUCAUCGAAUCUUUGAACGCACAUUGCGCCCGCCAGUAUUCUGGCGGGCAUGCCUGUUCGAGCGUCAUUUCAACCAUCAAGCCCCCGGCUUGUGUUGGGGACCUGCGGCUGCCGCAGGCCCUGAAAUGCAGUGGCGGGCUCGCUGUCACUCCGAGCGUAGUAGUUACAUCUCGCUCUGGGCGUGCUGCGGGUUCCGGCCGUGAAACCCCCUACUUCUCAAGGUUGACCUCGGAUCAGGUAGGAAUACCCGCUGAACUUAAGCAUAUCAAUAAGCGGAGGA
Molecule: unclassified non-coding RNA, 333 nt
Filed under: soil metagenome
Description: partial contains 5.8S ribosomal RNA, internal transcribed spacer 2, and large subunit ribosomal RNA
Rfam family: 5.8S ribosomal RNA (bases 1-120)
Source: RNAcentral